UGACCACUCAACAACAAGCAGCCUACACCUGUUUUCUGAGAUUUUCAGACAAGCACAGUUACAACAACUGUAGACUGAGGUUUGGGCAGGAACUUCUGUUCAUGGGUCUGAACACGAUGACCGACAAAACCCCCCUCAAACUGACCUUUGAUGCAGAGAAG
Carassius auratus (goldfish) is the source of this 161-nucleotide long non-coding RNA. RefSeq lists it as uncharacterized. The record is from RefSeq and is a predicted model, not a curated record. Lineage: Eukaryota; Metazoa; Chordata; Actinopteri; Cypriniformes; Cyprinidae. The transcript is spliced from 3 exons.